AUGUGAGCCAAUUACGUUCGAGCUAACUUGUAGGUUUCACAAAGAUCCCCCAGUAAAGGUGAUGCAUCCCUGACUGUUACAGACAGGGUACACAGAAUAGAGGCCAGGUUUUUUUCCUUCCUGUGAUGCUGCCCGAGUUUGAGGUCUGCUGUUGAGCGCUGCCUGAUCUGGAUAGACCCAAGUGUGAAUCCCUCUGAUUCUCAACCCUCUCCUGCAUUGUCUGUAUGCAUCUGGGUGCGUUUGGACUGGCGAGCCACCUGUUGAGUGAAUUCUCUGAACUUCUUAUAAGCUUGAACGUGGUUGCCGCCAAACGGUAGGAUUGAAGUUUUUUUGUGUGUUAUUUUUGGCCUAAUCCUGGAUCAGCUGCACAUUAAAGGACAUUUUCCAUUUUUUCCUAGAGACUGAACUGAAUUCAGACACUGAAGUUUUUUGUUGUCAUUGGGAAAAUUAUAAAUAUUGAGGUUCUUUAAAUUCAUAGUGAAUUAAUCUGUCACUGGUUUACUGGUUAUCCAGAUUUGUUGUUUUAUUUUGAUUCAUGUUAAACCUGUUGAAUUUGUUUAUUUUGAUAGUGAUCACAAUGCUUUAAGAGGAAAAAAGGGAAAUAGUACAAAGUAUUGACACGUGAGCAUUUUUGUGCUACUGUUUUUCUUUUGUAUUUAUUUUACAAAUUUUUGUGUUUGAUACAGUAAUCUUGUUUCUGAAUAUUGAAUGUCUGGGUGUGUUCACUCUUGUCGCUCCAUCUCUCGGACAAACCUAGCUUUCUGAUUGCCCUGAUGGUCCAAUUGAGUUAAUGCAAAACUUACACCCUUGGUGUGGGUUACAUAAUUCUAGUAAAAAACUACAAUCGUUGUUGGGCUCUAGUUCAACGCUUGUACAUUUAUGGAGUUAUCUAAGUCAUCCAAUCACAGGGUAAAAAAAUAUUCUAGAAAACAGGUCAAAAGCUUUUGGUAAUGU
Molecule: long non-coding RNA, 954 nt
Organism: Tachysurus fulvidraco (yellow catfish)
Lineage: Eukaryota; Metazoa; Chordata; Actinopteri; Siluriformes; Bagridae
Exons: 2
Source: RefSeq, a predicted model, not a curated record